This 111-nucleotide ribosomal RNA is filed under the name uncultured Duodenibacillus sp. Lineage: Bacteria; Pseudomonadati; Pseudomonadota; Betaproteobacteria; Burkholderiales; Sutterellaceae. The record is from RNAcentral.
UGGCGGCCAUACCGGGGUUGUACCACUCCUUCCCAUUCCGAACAGGACAGUGAAAAGCCUUUGGGCCGAUGAUAGUUGGUUGUAUUUCCAGUGAAAGUAGGUCACUGCCAG